RNAcentral lists this ribosomal RNA (397 nucleotides) under uncultured bacterium. RNAcentral describes it as "partial 16S ribosomal RNA". It matches the Rfam family "Bacterial small subunit ribosomal RNA", at positions 360 to 775 of the family's 1533-position model. The record is from RNAcentral.
AAUAUUGGACAAUGGGCGCAAGCCUGAUCCAGCCAUGCCGCGCGAGUGAUGAAGGCCCNAGGGUUNUNAAGCUCUUUCAACGGUGNAGAUAAUGACGGAACCGUAGAAGAAGCCCCGGCUAACUUCGUGCCAGCAGCCGCGUUAAUACGAAGGGGGCUAGCGUUGUUCGGAAUUACUGGGGGUAAAGCGCACGUAGGCGGAUCGAUCAGUUAGGGGGGAAAUCCCAGGGCUCAACCCUGGAACUGCCUCUAAUACUGUCGAUCUCGAGUUCGAGAGAGGUGAGUGGAAUUCCGAGUGUAGAGGUGAAAUUCGUAGAUAUUCGGAGGAACACCAGUGGCGAAGGCGGCUCACUGGCUCGAUACUGACGCUGAGGUGCGAAAGCGUGGGGAGCAAACAG